RNAcentral lists this ribosomal RNA (253 nucleotides) under uncultured bacterium. RNAcentral's name for it is "partial 16S ribosomal RNA". It matches the Rfam family "Bacterial small subunit ribosomal RNA", at positions 524 to 776 of the family's 1533-position model. The record is from RNAcentral.
UACGUAGGGGGCGAGCGUUGUCCGGAAUUACUGGGCGUAAAGGGCGCGCAGGCGGCCGUGUAAGUCCGCUGUGAAAGACCGGGGCUCAACCCCGGGGUGUCAGCGGGGACUGCACGGCUGGAGUCCCGGAGGGGGAGGCGGAAUACCUGGUGUAGCGGUGGAAUGCGUAGAGAUCCGGAAGAACACCGGUGGCGAAGGCGGCCUGCUGGGCAGUUGCUGACACUGAGGCGCGACAGCGUGGGGAGCAAACAGG